This 492-nucleotide ribosomal RNA is filed under the name uncultured bacterium. RNAcentral describes it as "partial 16S ribosomal RNA". It matches the Rfam family "Bacterial small subunit ribosomal RNA", at positions 29 to 507 of the family's 1533-position model. The record is from RNAcentral.
AGUGAACGCUGGCGGUAGGCCUAACACAUGCAAGUCGAACGGCAGCACAGUAAGAGCUUGCUCUUACGGGUGGCGAGUGGCGGACGGGUGAGGAAUACAUCGGAAUCUACUUUUUCGUGGGGGAUAACGUAGGGAAACUUACGCUAAUACCGCAUACGACCUACGGGUGAAAGCAGGGGAUCUUCGGACCUUGCGCGAUUGAAUUAGCCGAUGUCGGAUUAGCUAGUUGGCGGGGUAAAGGCCCACCAAGGCGACGAUCCGUAGCUGGUCUGAGAGGAUGAUCAGCCACACUGGAACUGAGACACGGUCCAGACUCCUACGGGAGGCAGCAGUGGGGAAUAUUGGACAAUGGGCGCAAGCCUGAUCCAGCCAUACCGCGUGGGUGCAGAAGGCCUUCGGGUUGUAAAGCCCUUUUGUUGGGAAAGAAAAGCAGCAGGUUAAUACCCCGCUGUUCUGACGGUACCCAAAGAAUAAGCACCGGCUAACUUCGUG